CCGGAGCAUCGGAAGAGAGUUCGAUCAUGGCUCAGAUUGAACGCUGCGGAAGCGCAUGGCGCAAGUCGAACGGCAGCACGGACUUCGGUCUGGUGGCGAGUGUGGCGAACGGGUGAGUAAUGUAUCGGAACGCCCAGAAGUGGGGAUAACUACGCGAAAGCGUAGCUAAUACCGCAUUACCUUCGGGGAAAGUGGGGACCUUUCGGCUCGCACUAUUAGAGCGGUCGAUAUCGUGGAUUAGCUAGUUGCGGGGCAAACGGCCUACUGGCGCGAUCGAUCCGUAGUUGGUUUGAGAGGACGACCAGCUACACUGGGACUGAGACACGGCCCAGACUCACGGAGGUACAGUGGGGGGAAUUUUGGACAAUGGGGAAACCCCUGAUCCAGCCAUCCUGCUGCGAUGAAGGCCUUCGCCAGGUAAAUAACUUUGGCAGGAGGUGAAAUAGACGGGAUACUCCUGUGCAACUGACGGUACUGCAGAAUAAAGUUAACUGGUUAACUACGUGCCAGCAGCCGCGGUAAUACGUAGGUGCAGCAAUCGGAAUUACUGGGUAAAAGGCAGGUGGUUCGGCAAAGAUGUGAAAUCCCAGAGCUUGCACUUUGAACUCAUUUUUAACUACCGAGCUAGAGUGUGUCAGAGUGGAGGUAACCGCGUAGUAGUGAAUGCGCAGAUAUGGAGAACACCGAUGGCGAAGGCAGCCUCGGGAUAACACUGACGCUCAUGCACGAAAGCGUGGGAGCAAAACAGGAUCAGAUACUCCCGCAGUCCACGCCCUAAACGAUGUCAAUUCAGUUGUUAGUUUUUCGGGCCAGGUAGUGUAAAGCAUCAGUGUGGGAAGUUGACCGCCUUGGGGAGUACGGUCGCAAGAUUAAACUCAAAGGAAUUGACGGGGACCCGUACCAAGCGGUGGAUGAUGUGAUUAAUUUGAUGCAAUGCGAAAAACCCACCUAAAUUUCGAGAGGUUCUGAAUCCCGAAGAGAUUUAGAGUGCUUGCAAGAGAACCGAACACAGGUGCUGCAUGGCUGUCGUCAGCUCGUGUCGAGAUGUUGGGUUAAGUCCGCAACGAGCGCAACCUUGUCAUUAGUUGCCAUGAAAGGCAAUUUAAUGACUGCCGGGUGACAACCGAGGAAGGUGGGGAUGACGUCAAGUCCUCAUGGCCCCUAUGGGCAGGGCUUCACACGUCAUACAAUGGCCGGACAGAGGGUCGCUAACCCGCGAGGGAGCCAAUCCCAGAAACCCGAUCAAACUGGAUCAGCAGUCUGCAACUCGACCGCGUGGAAGUCGGAAUCGCUAGCAAUCGCGAUCAGCAUGUCGCGGUGAAUACGUUCCCGGUCUUGUACACACCGCCCGUCACACCAUGGGAGGUUUUACCAGAGCAGUUAGCUCACCGUAAGUGAUAUGACAUUACGGUAGGAUUCAUGAUCAAAGAAGUUGUAACAAGGUAAA
This 1447-nucleotide ribosomal RNA is filed under the name uncultured Bordetella sp. RNAcentral's name for it is "partial 16S-23S ribosomal RNA intergenic spacer". It matches the Rfam family "Bacterial small subunit ribosomal RNA". Lineage: Bacteria; Pseudomonadati; Pseudomonadota; Betaproteobacteria; Burkholderiales; Alcaligenaceae. The record is from RNAcentral.